CUACGGGUCGCAGCAGUAAGGAAUAUUGCACAAUGGGGGAAACCCUGAUGCAGCAACGCCGCGUGGACGAAGAAGGCCUUCGGGUCGUAAAGUCCUUUUCUGAGGGAAGAGGAAGGACGGUACCUCAGGAAUAAGUCUCGGCUAACUACGUGCCAGCAGCCGCGGUAAAACAUAGGAGGCGAGCGUUAUCCGGAUUCACUGGGCGUAAAGGGCAAGUAGGCGGUUGUUUAAGUUAGGUGUGACAUCUCUCGGCUUAACUGGGAGGGAGCGCUUAAAACUAGGCAACUAGAGGGCGGAAGAAGGGGGUAGAACUCCAAAUGUAGCGGUGGAAUGCUCAGAUAUUUGGAAGAAUACCAGUGGCGAAGGCGACCCCCCGGUCCGUGCCUGACGCUGAGAGGCGAAAGCUAGGGUAGCGAACGGGAUUAGAUACCCUGGUAGUC
Molecule: ribosomal RNA, 440 nt
Filed under: uncultured bacterium
Lineage: Bacteria
Description: partial 16S ribosomal RNA
Rfam family: Bacterial small subunit ribosomal RNA
Source: RNAcentral